UACGUAGGGUGCAAGCGUUAAUCGGAAUUACUGGGCGUAAAGCGUGCGCAGGCGGUUUUGUAAGUCUGUCGUGAAAGCCCCGGGCUCAACCUGGGAAUGGCGAUGAAGACUGCAAGGCUAGAAUCUGGCAGAGGGGGGUAGAAUUCCACGUGUAGCAGUGAAAUGCGUAGAGAUGUGGAGGAACACCGAUGGCGAAGGCAGCCCCCUGGGUCAAGAUUGACGCUCAUGCACGAAAGCGUGGGGAGCAAACAGG
This 253-nucleotide ribosomal RNA is filed under the name uncultured bacterium. RNAcentral's name for it is "partial 16S ribosomal RNA". It matches the Rfam family "Bacterial small subunit ribosomal RNA", at positions 524 to 776 of the family's 1533-position model. The record is from RNAcentral.